Non-coding RNA from Mycena latifolia, 97 nucleotides. Lineage: Eukaryota; Fungi; Basidiomycota; Agaricomycetes; Agaricales; Mycenaceae. The record is from the annotation of a GenBank genome assembly.
GCCGUCGUCGACCAGUGGCAGGUCACCUCCAACAAUUGUCCCAUUUCAAUAUCACCAUCUAGUGGAGGAACCGUGGGUUCGAUUCCCCCCGACGGCA